ACCCGCUGAAUUUAAGCAUAUAACUAAGCGGAGGAGAAGAAACUAACAAGGAUUCCCCUAGUAAGGGCGACUGAAGCGGGAUCAGCCCAGAUUGUAAACUGACCUUAAAUACAAGGUUGGGUUGUAGUCUAAAGAGGCGACGCCAGGCAAGGUCCGGGGAGAAGUCCCUUGGAACAGGGCAUCGGAGAGGGUGACAAUCCCGUCUGUGCCUCGGACCGCGUCGUACGGUGCGUCUUCGACGAGUCGGUUUGCUUGGGAUUGCAGACCAAACGGGUGGUAAAUUCCAUCUAAGGCUAAAUACGGGUGGGAGACCGAUAGCGAACAAGUACCGUGAGGGAAAGAUGCAAAGAACUUUGAAAAGAGAGUUAAAAAGGGCCUGAAACUGGUAAGAGGGAACCGAACGGCAGAAGUGGUGAUGGGCGCGUAUUUUCCGCCGGGCUCUUGGCCGGCGUACUUGUGCGCGUCCGUAGGUCAGCGUGGGUUGGGGCGUGGGAGUCGUUCAUGGGAAGGUCUUCGGACCAAUCUCGUGUUCAGGCCGCGCCUGAGACCUUCGGUGACGAAAUUCUUCCGUUCACCCCGUCUUGAAACACGGACCAAGGAGUCUAAAAUACGAGCGAGUGCGCCGGUGGCAACCCGGGGCGCGUAAUGAAAGUGAGACCGACGGUGGGAGGGCUUUACGUCCGCACCAUCAACCGACCAGGAUCCUUCGGGUGAAAGGUUUGAGUGUAGCUUGUAUUUUGGGACCCGAAAGAUGGUGAACUAUGCCUGAAUAGGGCGAAGCCAGGGGAAACUCUGGUGGAGGCUCGUAGCGAUUCUGACGUGCAAAUCGAUCGUCAAAUUUGGGUAUAGGGGCGAAAGACUAAUCGAACCAUCUAGUAGCUGGUUCCCUCCGAAAUUUCCCUCAGGAUAGCAGCAAUCGAAGAGUUUUAUCAGGUAAAGCGAAUGAUUAGAGGCCUCAGGGGUGGAACGUCCUUGACCUAUUCUCAAACUUUAAAUGGGUAAGAGCCAGGGGUUGCUUAAGUGAACCCCUCGGUCGGAUCGCGGUUGCUAGUGGGCCACCCGGGGUAAGCUCGGUUGGCGAUGCGGGAUGAUCCGAACGUCGAGUUAAAGUGCCUCACUGCCCGCUCACCUAGAUCCCACAAAAGGUGUUGGUUCAUUUAGACAGCAGGACGGUGGCCAUGGAAGUCGGAACCCGCUAAGGAGUGUGUAACAACUCACCUGCCGAAUGGAUUAGCCCUGAAAAUGGAUGGCGCUGAAGCGAGCGACUUAUACUCGACCAUCACGGCAAGUGCGACGCCGUGAUGAGUAGGAGGGCGUGGGGCUCGUGGCGCAUCCCGCGGCGUGAGCCGGGGUGAAACGGGCUCUAGUGCAGAUCUUGGUGGUAGUAGC
Molecule: ribosomal RNA, 1389 nt
Filed under: Aureococcus anophagefferens
Lineage: Eukaryota; Pelagophyceae; Pelagomonadales; Pelagomonadaceae
Description: partial large subunit ribosomal RNA
Rfam family: Eukaryotic large subunit ribosomal RNA
Source: RNAcentral